CACUUGGUCUAAUCUUCAUAGAGUCUUCAGCAAGCACCUUUAUCACACAGACAUAAUUUUCAGCUGUCACAUAUAGUGUCUAAGAGAGGCCAACUAAUGCCAACCAUAGUGAAAAUGAGGGCUGGAAGAAACCUGGAGAAAUCACCUAGUUCAAUCCUCUGAUCAAGAAAGCACCAUUUCUUUUUAAACUAUCUCAAAUAAAUGUUUGCCUGAAAUGCACUUAAAAAAGUCCAGUGACAGACAUUCCACAACCUGUUCAGUGCUUAUCUAUCUUCAUAGCUAGAACAUAACACAAUUCUCCUUCGCUGCAAUUUAAGCCUAUUCUUGUCCUUCCCCACAGUGUACAUCACAGAACAAUUAAUCAACAUUCUCUUUAUAUCAGCCUUUCUUAUAUUUGAAGAACAUUAUAAUAUCUUCUUCUCUAAAAUAAUCUGAGUUCUUCCAACAAUUUGCCUCACAUGCCAUGUUUUUAGACUGCUAAUCAUUUUUGUUGUUAUCUUCUGGAGGACGAUUUGUCCAAACUGGGCAGAGUUAAGUGAGGCUUUGACAAAAAGCCUUUGACAGUGGUCAAAGUG
Molecule: long non-coding RNA, 575 nt
Organism: Gavialis gangeticus (Gharial)
Lineage: Eukaryota; Metazoa; Chordata; Crocodylia; Gavialidae
Exons: 3
Source: RefSeq, a predicted model, not a curated record